This 509-nucleotide ribosomal RNA is filed under the name uncultured bacterium. Its description in RNAcentral is "bacterial SSU rRNA". It matches the Rfam family "Bacterial small subunit ribosomal RNA", at positions 28 to 528 of the family's 1533-position model. The record is from RNAcentral.
GACGAACGCUGGCGGCGUGGAUUAGGCAUGCAAGUCGAACGGUAUCAUCCUUUCGGGGGUGAGAGAGUGGCGAACUGGUGAGUAACACGUAGGUUAUCUACCCUCAAGACGGGGACAACCCAGGGAAACUUGGGCUAAUACCGGAUGUGAGCAACUUUUAGUUGUUUGAAAGGUGGCGUAAGCUGUCGCUUGGGGAUGAGCCUGCGUCCUAUUAGUUAGUUGGUGAGGUAACGGCUCACCUAGGCAAUGAUAGGUAGGCGGCCUUAACGGGUGGUCGCCCACACUGGGAUUGAGAUACGGCCCAGACUCCUACGGGAGGCAGCAGUCGAGAAUAGUCUACAAUGGUCGGAAGACUGAUAGUGCGACGCCGCGUGAACGAUGAAUCCCUUCGGGGUGUAAAGUUCUUUUCUAUACGAGCAGUGCUAUAUAUAUUCAAAGUAUAUAUAGAGGGAUAGUAGUAUAGGAAUAAGCAACGGCUAACUCCGUGCCAGCAGCCGCGGUAAGCUCGU